UAAUUUUGCCAACCAAUCAUAUUCAAAUUUUUUUUUGCUCUUUUCACAUUUUUCAAUGUUUCCAUAUUUUAAUAGAAUUAAUAGUUUAUUUUAAUAAUUUUUUAAUGGUUUGGGGAUGGAUGGAUGGACAAUUCGAGAAGGUUGCAGGUGGAUAGAUGAUUCGAUGAUUCGAGAAGGUUGCGGAUGGAUAGAGAAAGUGAGAAGGUUGUGGAUGGAUGAUUCAAAAUAUUUGAUAUUUUGGUCGCAAAUGCAUCUGUCAUGGAUCCCUCGAUCCUUCCGCAUGGCGAUCAUUAGAGUUUUUCCGAUACUAGGCUCUAUAAAAAAUAUAUAAUCUACGCAAUAAUAAUAAUUUGCCCUCUAAGUCUUCGAAUUGGCUCAAUUUGCAAGUUCACAGAUUUGGUUGGUGAAAUCCUGGUGCUCGUUUCCAAUCUUGCGAGAUCGAUGGCUUAAGGGAAUCAAUCCGGCCAGUUUUUCUCUAGCAGGCAUGACUGGACAUGGUGAAAACUGAACAUUUAUUUUCAAAGUUGGCUUAAGUUUUGGGGAAAAUUGAUGCAACUGGCAGCUGCAUGGCUAAUUUUAGGGGCAAAUUGUAGGAGGAGCAGUAAUAUGGUGUGGUUUUGCAAAUGCAGAGCGGUAUUGGAGUCAUUUACACUGGUCUGUCAGAAUUCAAACAAAACUAAUCAAGUAUGAGGCAAAUUCUGGCUAGAUUGAAGGUUUUGUUGAUUUGAUUUGCAUUUUGUUGUGUUGUGGCUCAAUUAGUCAUGGUAUGAAAAUGCUUACUGAGUUUGGCUGCAAACUAACCAAUCAAGUUUUGUUUUCAUACAACUACCUUUAGGCCAGUGUUCUACAUGGAUACACCCUGGGGUAUGGUGACAUAAAGACAUCCUAAGGACAUGGGGAAUUUCAGGUAUACAUUUCAGAGACUAUUCAGUAGGAUUCCUAAAAUUAAGCAACCCACUCGCGAAUCUCUCUCUCCCUCUCUCUAAUAUUAAAUUAUGCAAAAUAGGAAGAAUUACAGAUAGUUCCAGCAGUCACAAACAGCAGCUAGAAAAUAGUCAAACAAAGCUGUUGUAGGAAAAUAGAGAGACUUAAAUCCAAGACCUUGAAGUCAGCCACCUGCAGUAAGUCAUCGCAGAUUCACCCACAGUAUAUAUUUCCAAAACAGAUCAAGCACAGAUGCAUGAGACACCCAAGUGCAGACGAAUACAAAAAGACAACCCAAAGAGGAUAGCAUUCUUAAUAGCCCAGGUAAUAGAUCUCCUUAUCUGGGGACUGCUAUGAUAUCUAGAGACUACAAAUCUUUCAUUCAGAUUGUAUUCCAUAACAAUGAGGACACAGACACAAUCCAAUCAUGGCUUUUGGAUGAAUACUCCUUCUUUGUAGUAGGGUAAGUUACCAAUUCGAGUUGAGAGAUGCUCCAGCCAAUUUUCAGGCUUCGUAAAGAUCCUCUAGACACAAUGUUUCUAAAAGUCUCCCUCCGAGGCUAAAACCUAAUGCACAGAAAGAUUUCGCCACCUGUUCUUUUUGACACUGUUCUGAUAAGCAUGCAAGAAAAAUGUCAUUCAGUAAAGAGUACACGUGGAAUUUGAAAGUAAA
This is a long non-coding RNA of Cryptomeria japonica (Japanese cedar), 1596 nucleotides long. RefSeq lists it as uncharacterized. The record is from RefSeq and is a predicted model, not a curated record. The transcript is spliced from 2 exons. NCBI's taxonomy places the organism in Eukaryota, Viridiplantae, Streptophyta, Pinopsida, Cupressales, Cupressaceae.